CCAUCCAUUCCCCUCCUUGCGCCGCCACUAACUCCACCUGGUCUCCCCCACCUCGGGAUCUUGCCCGAUCCAAAAAUCCUCAUCGGGAUCCCCUACCCGAUCCACCCAACCAGCUCGUAGCCGCCUCCCCUUCCCUGCUCCCGUGCGUGUCCAGCACCACAGGAGAGGUGCUCCUCGAGCCCUCGAUCCAGCGCGCAGAUGCUCGAGCGCUCCUCCUCGUGACCCGCCGCCCCGGCGAACCGUCACCGUCGGCGACCACUUCCAUCAGGCCGGACCCCGCUCCCCUCGUUGCUUCUCCUUCUCCCGUUCCCUCCGUUUUCCCUCUCUCACUUACUCUCUGUCAUCUCCAGGAAACUGCAGGAGGCAAGCACCAUGCCAUGGCAUCCCCUGCUCGACGACCGCGUCGCCGUCGUCGACUUCGCGCCCAUCCCCGCCUGAUUCUGCAGCGCCGCCGCCCGUCUUCUUCGUUCAAGGCAAGCUCUGCUGCUGUCCUGCUCGAGCUGCCAAGUCCCUGUCGCCUCGCCGCUGUACCCCGUCCUCGACCUCAUUCAGCAGCCCCCGCCGCAAGCCGCGACCUCCACAACCUCCUCCCGAAUCUGCUCCGCCUCGCCUCUGCCGGAUCGGAGCAGCACCGGACCAGCAGGACCGUGCCCUUCCUCUCCAGCCUCCCCUCUGUUUUCUUCUAGAUCACCGGCAACGCUCUCUCUCAGGAUCUCUCUUCUCUCUCGCUUCUCUCCACAGGGAACCGAAGCCAUGGCCACCGGCCGUCCAUGGUCGCCGCCGCAAGGAUCUGCUCGCCUCCGCUGCCUCCGCGCCAUCCCUGUCGCCGGAGGAUGCAGCCCCGCCGCUUCCAAGUCCUCUGCUUCGCCCGUGGUCGAGCGAGACGACCAUAAACGCAGCCGCGUUGACCGCCCGCUCGCCAGCGCCUUUCUGCCUCGCUGGCAAGGCCCAGCCUGCUCCAGCUCCUCAUCCGGCAUGCCAGGCCUCUCCACCAGCUGGGCCGAGGCCCAUGGUGAGAACCUCCCCCAGCGCCCAUGUCCUGUUUCAGCCUGUGCUCUAAUUCAGCCCGCAUGUGUUUUUUUUACUGCUGCGAAUUUAACAUUAUCCAUUGUAUUACUGAUUUACAGAAAACCCCUCCAUGUUCAUGCAUAUAAUAACUCAUUAUCCGUGCGUCAUAUGUAAAUAAUUUAUAUAUGUGAUAUGCUCAGAAAAUUGUGUAGAUUAACAAUAUGCCACUUUCAUCCCAUGUUAAUAUGUUUAACAUGUUGUUUACAUUAAUUUGCUCCUAUGCCAUGCUAAAAUGAUUUAUUUCAUAACUAUUUAACCGUAACUCCGAAUUUAAUGUUCUUUAUAUGUAAAUGGGGUGGAAAAAUGCCUAGUUUAACAUGGUGCACUUUGUUUUAUUGUUUAACAACUUUAAAAUAUGUUUUAGGGCAGAACAGUAGCAAAUUCAUAAAUUGCAUAUGAGGUUUUUCCGAAAAUAUUGUUUGUUGUUCCGGCCUCAUUUAAACUUGCCUAAAUAUUUAGUUUACUUUUGUUACACCCCUUGACAUGUUUAACAACAUUUAACAUUGUUGUGUACCUAAACGAGAGCGAACUAAAUAACUCGGAUGUGGUGUUUCGUCAAUAUGCAACUCGUUGCAUAUUGAGCUCCACUUAACUUGUAGUAUUGUGUGUUGCACUUUGCCAUGCCAUGCCCCAUUAAACCGGACAUGCAUCAUAAUUGAUUGUGCAUCAUGCCAUAUUUAUGCUUGUGUGUUUAACAUGUUGUUUGUUUCUUUCCGGUGUUGCUUCUUAGUCCCGGUAAUGUUGCGAUUGUGAGGAUUCGUUCGACUACGUCCAUUUGUCUUCUUCAUGGACUCGUUCUUCUUCCUAGCGGGAUUUCAGGCAAGAUGACCGCUACCCUGGAUCUCACUACUAUCAUUGAUAUGCUAGUUGCUUCGUUCUAUCGCUAUGUUGCGCUACCUAUCAUUUUGUUCUAUCAAGCCUCCCAAAUUGCCAUGAACCUCUAACCUUUGACACCAUUCCUAGCAAACCGUUGCUUGGCUAUGUUACCGCUUUGCUCAGCCCUCUUAUAGCGUUGCUAGUUGCAGGUGAAGUUGAAGAUUGCUCCAUGGUGGACAGGGUUAUGUUGGGAUAUUACAAUAUCUCUUAUAUUAUUAAUGCAUCUAUAUAUUUGGUAAAGGGUGGAAGGCUCGGCCUUAUGCCUGGUGUUUUGUUCCACUCUUGCCGCCCUAGUUUCCGUCAUACCGGUGUUAUGUUCCCGGAUUUUGCGUUCCUAACGCGGUCGGGUGAUUUAUGGGACCCCCUUGACAGUUCGCUUUGAAUAAAACUUGUCCAGCAAGGCCCAACCUUGGUUUUACCAUUUGCAUCACCACCACCUAUACCCUUCCCUUGGGUCGGCCAACCCGAGGGUCAUCUUUAUUUUAGCCCCCCCGGGCCAGUGCUUGUCUAAGUGCUGGUCCGAACUGAGUAGACUGCGGGGCCCCCUCGGGGCAACUCGAGGUCUGGUUUUACUCGUAGGAUGUCUCAUCUGGUGUUACCCUGAGAACGAGAUAUGUGCAGCUCCUAUCGGGAUUGUCGGCGCAUCGGGCGGCUUUGCUGGUCUUGUUUUACCAUUGUCGAAAUGUCUUGUAAACCGGGAUUCCAAGACUGAUCGGGUCUUCCUGGGAGAAGGUCUAUUCCUUCGUUGAUCACGAGAGCUUGUCAUGGGCUAAGUUGGGACACCCCUACAGGGUAUAAACUUUCGAGAGCCGUGCCCGCGGUUAUGUUGCAGAUGGGAAUUUGUUAAUGUCCGGUUGUAGAUAACUUGACACCAGAUCCGAAUUAAAAUGCAUCAACCGCGUGUGUAGCCGUGAUGGUCUCUUCUCGGUGGAGUCCGGGAAGUGAACACGGUUUCUGGGUUAUGUUUGACGUAAGUAGGUGUUCAGGAUCACCUCUUGAUCAUUGCUAGCUUCACGACUGUUCCUUUGUUUCUCUUCUCGCUCUCAUUUGCGUAUGUUAGCCACCAUAUAUGCUUAGCCGCUGCUGCAACCUCACCACUUUACCCCUUCCUUACCCAUUAAGCUUUGCUAGUCUUGAUACCCAUGGUAAUGGGAUUGCUGAGUCCUCGUGGCUCAUAGUUACUUCCAAAACCAGUUUGCAGGUACCAAUGUUACCAAGCAGGUGACGCCACCAAGCUCAAGGAGGAGCUCGAUGAAGAUCUUGCCCUUUGUGUUGUUUCGUUCUAGUUGAUCAGUAGUGGAGCCCAGUUGGGGUCGAUCGGGGACCUUUGUCACAUUUGGGGUUCUUCUUUUAUUUUGGUUCCGUAGUCGGACCUUGAUUGUAUCUGUAUGAUGUAAUGCUUUACUCAUGUAUUGUGUGAAGUGGCGAUUGUAAGCCAACUAUGUAUCUCUUUCCCUUAUGUAUUACAUGGGUUGUGUGAAGAUUACCUCACUUGCGACAUUGCUUUCAAUGCGGUUAUGCCUCUAAGUCGUGCUUCGACACGUGGGAGAUAUAGCCGCAUCGAGGGCGUUACAAGUUGGUAAUCAGAGCCUUCCCCGACCUUAGGAGCCCCACUGCUUGAUCGUUUUUAGCGGCCAAGUUGUGUCUAGAAAAAUGUUUUGAGUCAUUUAGGAUUAUAUAUAUCGGAGAGUUAGGAAUUCUUUUUACUCCCCAGUCUCUUCAUCGCUCUGGUAAGGCAUCCUGACGUAGAGUUUUGACUCUUCUCUUCUCAAAUUUCACUAAAUUUUUUUUAGGAUCACGCGGGUAUCUUGGAAUCAUUCCGAUGGUUUUAUGAUGAGAACAUUGUCUUGGUGCCUUCUGUCAGGGGUUUAGUGGAAGUGUCCUGGGGAGUUGAGCUCUGAGGUGUUGUCGUCAUAAUUUUAUCGUUGCAGUUCUGGAAUACCUGAGUUUAGUACGCCGACAUCGAAAAUCUCUUUUAUGCAGUUGUUGUUGAGAUAACCCCGAUAACCCAGUACUGAGGUGAGUACGGGAGUAUUGCCAUAACUUGUAUAACGGAUGCUUUUCGAAGGUUGAGGUACACGAUUUCCGAAGGUUUCUUGGUUAUGUUUUGACGGAUGGAUACAGCUUGGAUGUAGGUAUUGUUAGUUUGGGUGAGAUAUAUUGCUUCCCCUGUAUCCCCAACACCAGAUUGCAUAACCAGAAAGUUUCGGGAGUUUAUAGGUGGGAAUUCAAGUAGCUCCUAGAACAUCUUUCCGACAGAUGCAUGAUAUGGGAUUGGGUAAAUCUCUAUCAUAUGUUUGUUCCGGCUUAUUCUGCAAGCCAGUCCUUUGUUUUUGUUUUGAGUUGUGGUAUUCGAGUUGCUUCAAUGUCAAGUGUUGAUUCCAUACCUUUCCGAAAUGGUGUUCUCAUACUCCGAUGUGAAUACCAAUCCUUCUCGACAAUCGAGAUUGUCAUGUCAAUCCUUUUCAACCGGCGUGUUUCUCUUCAAGUGGAUCAGAUCACUUCAACAUCAGCAAGACCAAUUAUCAUUUCUUCUCAACGGUGUUUGUUUCAUCCGUCUCCAAGUUGCCUUUGUUUUUCCCGCCCACCCUCCCUUUUUCCUCAAGGACUAAGAUUUCUUUACCAAGUAUCCUUUUAUUUUUGUGAAGUUUCUCCAUUCUUUUCCGUCAAUGUUCUUACCCGGUGGUUCUCAAGAAGAUGUUCUACUAGUUCGUCAUUCCUCAUUCCUUUCUCUUCUCCGGUGGAUUCAAGUCAAGUUUUGUUGAUCAUACCUUUUUCCUCAUUUCAAUGUCUUCUCAUACCGGUGCACCUCAUUAUCAUUCUACUUCUCGCUAUUUGUUAUUCCGGAGUGCUCAAGAUAUCUCAAAGAUUCGUGUUUCCACUCUGCAUUCGUUCAAGCUCUUUCGAGAUUGGUAUCUCAUUCAAGUCAUUUAAUUCAACCGGUGCAACAUCUCUUUUAAAUCUUUGCAACGGUGUUCUUUUGAGUGGGCCCUAACCCACAGGUCUUUUCCCAGGAUCUUACCUGACUCUUCUAUUUUCCCAGAGCUAUCCUAAAUUCUUCUCCAAGUUUGACGUAAGAAUGAGUUAUCAUCAGUCAAAUGCUUUUCUCCAAGAUCUUUCAAAUUCUUUUCAUAGUUGGCUCAACCUCUUCGCUUUUGAUUCUUCCGGUGUGCCUCAAUAAUUCUUGGUGGUGUUUUUCAUUGUCAUUCUCAACAUUUGAAGACCGUAGACGGAUUUCUCUUAAAUCUUGGUCCAUUCUCUUGAAGGUUCAUGGCUCUAGCUUCAUGCUAUCAUCAUAAUUGUUUUGAUUGUGACUAUUCUUUUCACCCAUCCGGAGCAUUUCAUGAGUUGUUUCCAUUUCUUUCCUCCGAAGGCCAUCAUGUCAUAAUUCUUCAUUCUCAGCGUGUAGCUAUCGUUCUCCAAAUCUUACCGGUGAUUUGUUUAAAUAUCCUCUAAUCAGUUCAUGUUCUCUUCGUUCUCAUGUAUCUAAAUCCCCUCAAAUAUCUUCAUUUGUUUUCCAAUUCUUCCCGGUGAAUUGUGCCUUUGCUACAUUCAUUUUCAAUUCUUACGGUGGUUCGUUAAAGAUUUCACUUCCUUCAUUAUCUUAUCAAUUCAUUCGUUGUUUUCAAAUCCUACUGGUGGAUCGUUGAAGACUUUUCUCAAGUUUGCUCUAUAUCUUCUUAAUCCUUUCUAGAAGAAUAAGUAGUAUGCCAACUCCAUUGCUUAUCAUCAAUUUAAUUUGAUGAAGGAUAAACAUACAAUAAAUCUUAUUCUUAUUUCCUCGAGGUGAUUCAAUUCUUUUCUUCCGGAGAUUAUUCAUCAUGAAUAAAUUCUUGAUUACAAGUGAUUCAUCUUUCUUUCCGGAGUUUGUUCAUCAUAUCACAUUCUCGGUUUCAUGUGUUUCAUGUUUUCUUUUCCGGAGUUCCAAGUUUUCCGCAUUAUCUCGUCACGAAGCUCCAUCUAAAUCAUUGCAACGCUUCACCUUGUGUUUUCAACUUCUCUUUCUUUUCAUCAUCCUUCUAUUACUGGAGUUCUUCAUGGAGGCUCUAAAUGGUGGGUCGUCAAGGAUUCUUUUCAUUCUUCAAUUGUUCUUCAAGAUUUCGCUCGAAGUUAUGAUCCGCCAAGCUAUACUCAAAAGUAAACAGGGUGCCCAACACUUGUUUUGUUUUGAGAAGCUCAAGUAUUCUCCGUCUUGCAUUCCAAAGUGCAAUUCCUUCUAUCUUAUCUUUUGAGAUGGUGUUAUGUCACUCUUGACAAUUUCCUUCAUGUUUCAUGAUUCAUAUUGUUGUCAAGAAUGAGGUAUUUUAAAUCCAGCAGUCUCUUCACUGGAUUUAUAUUGGGUUAUAUUUCACCUAAAGCCUUCCCCAAGGAAUGUUGCUAUUUUGUGGUGAUUACGCAUGACCCAAGCUUACUCUUUAUCCUCUUGGUGGAAGAAGUUUUCAUCUCUUCGUUGAUCUCAAGCAAGCAAUUGUUUUCGUUAGUGGCAGAAUUUCACCUCAAGUGUUGAGAUGUUUUCCAUAAGCCACAACAAGUUUGUGCUUCUCGUUGUUGAUUUUCCAACAACUCCGUUCGAUUCUUCUUUGCAAGGAUGCUUUCCAGGUUCACUUGUGGAAAAAGUUGUCAUUUUCUUCUCCGUCCCUUUAUCCCAAUGAUCUAACUUCUAUUCUUUCGUUACGGAGACAUUGUGAUGUUGUGCUCUUCACUCAUCACCUCGUUUUUUUUGAGGAUCGUGUUCUUUUCUUGUUUAUCCAUUUAACCGGAGUGUUGUAUCAUCUCUUCAAUAUCUCUUCAUCUCAUCAAGCUUUUCUACCGGAGUGCUGUCCAAAUUCUGUCAUUCUUGUUCCUUGGCUAUCUCACUAUACCGAGGUGGUCAUAUUCUUUUCGUUCGUGAAGCUCUUUUUUCCAUGUCUUUCAACCUUCAAGUUCUCGUAAUACUCCUUGUUCCUCUUUUCUAACGAAUUGUUUGCAAUCUCGUUCAUCUCUGUUGUACUCUUUCUUUUAAAUUGCUCAACCUCUCAAGGUUUGUGGUUUCACUAGUUCGUCAAAGAAGCAACUUAGUUUUACCUCUUCUCUUCCUCUUUCUUUUCCCUCCGGUGCCAUCCUAGAUCUCGGGACGAGAUCCUCUCGUAGUGGUGGAGUGUUGUAACGCCCCGGAUGUAACUUUCCAUAUUCGUAACUCCAACUCCUGCCUUUUCCGGAGAUGCGAUAUAUUAUUUUCUCCGUGGUUGGGUUUUUGUCUUUCGUUUUGCAUUUUGUUCAUGUCAUGCAUUUCAUCAUCGCAUCAUUCGCAUUGCAUCGGCAUCGUUUUCAUAAAACUUGCAUUCGCUCGUAGUUGUCGCUUCUUCCUUGUUCCUGUUGACCCCUCUCAGAUCAACCGGACCGCUCUCUUCUCUCUCUUUUCUGAGCCCAUCAAAACCCUUUGUCUCCAUGGCGUUUCGUCAAACCCCUCUUGCGUGCGUCCGAAAACUCCCCUAAACCCGACCCGGGCAGUCAUUACCAUUGGGUCCGGAUCAUCCCCUAACGUCUACAAAACAUCUCUGUUUUGUUAUUUGGGCUCCCUAACUAUUUUAUUCGCGACCGUCCGAUUUUAAUCGAAGGGACCAAAUGACCCUAAGCCUACCCACUCGCUAUAUAUAGCAGUCUAACCCUAGAUCCUAGGGGCUUGUCCCAUCCAUUCCCCUCCUUGCGCCGCCACUAACUCCACCUGGUCUCCCCCACCUCGGGAUCUUGCCCGAUCCAAAAUUCCUCAUCGGGAUCCCCUGCCCGAUCCACCCAACCAGCUCGCAGCCGCCUCCCCUUCCCUGCUCCCGUGCGUGUCCAGCACCACAGGAGAGGUGCUCCUCGAGCCCUUGAUCUAGCGCGCAGAUGCCCGAGCGCUCCUCCUCGUGACCCACCGCCUCGGCGAACCGUCACCGUCGGCGACCACUUCCAUCAGGCCGGACCCCGCUCCCCUCGUUGCUUCUCCUUCUCCCGUUCCCUCCGUUUUCCCUCUCUCACUUGCUCUCUGUCAUCUCCAGGAAACUGCAGGAGGCAAGCACCAUGCAAUGGCCUCCCCUGCUCGACGACCGCGUCGCUGUCGUCGACUUCGCGCCCAUCCCCGCCUGAUUCUGCAGCACCGCCGCCCGUCUUCUUCGUUCACGGCAAGCUUUGCCGCUGUCCUGCUCGAGCUGCCAAGUCCCUGUUGCCUCGCCGCUGUACCCCGUCCUCGACCUCAUUCAGCAGCCCCCGCCGCAAGCCGCGACCUCCACAGCCUCCUCCCGAAUCUGCUCCGCCUCGCCUCUGCCGGAUCGGAGCAGCACCGGACUAGCAGGACCGUGCCCUUCCUCUCCAGCCUCCCCUCUGUUUUCUUCUAGAUCACCGGCAACGCUCUCUCUCAGAAUCUCUCUUCUCUCUCGCUUCUCUCCACAGGGAACCGAAGCCAUGGCCGCCGGCCAUCCAUGGUCGCCGCCGCAAGGAUUUGCUCGCCUCCGCUGCCUCCGCGCCAUCCCUGUCGCCGGAGGAUGCAGCCCCGCCGCUUCCAAGUCCUAUGCUUCGCCCGUGGUCGAGUGAGACGACCAUAAACGCAGCCGCGUUGACCGCCCGCUCGCCAGCGCCUCUCUGCCUCGCUGGCAAGGCCCAGCCUGCUCCAGCUCCUCAUCCGGCCUGCCAGGCCUCUCCACCAGCUGGGCCGAGGCCCAUGGUGAGACCCUCCCCCAGCGCCCAUGUCCUGUUUCGGCCUGUGCUCUAAUUCAGCCCGCAUGUGUUUUUUUUACUGCUGCGAAUUUAAUAUUAUCCAUUGUAUUACUGAUUUACAGAAAACCCCUCCAUGUUCAUGCAUAUAAUAACUCAUUAUCCGUGCGUCAUAUGUAAAUAAUUUAUAUAUGUGAUAUGCUUAGAAAAUUGUGUAGAUUAACAAUAUGCCACUUUCAUCCCAUGUUAAUAUGUUUAACAUGUUGUUUACAUUAAUUUGCUCCUAUGCCAUGCUAAAAUGAUUUAUUUCAUAACUGUUUAACCGUAACUCCGAAUUUAAUGUUCUUUAUAUGUAAAUGGGGUGGAAAAUGCCUAGUUUAACAUGGUGCACUUUGUUUUAUUGUUUAACAACUUUAAAAUAUGUUUUAGGGCAGAACAGUAGCAAAUUCAUAAAUUGCAUAUGAGGUUUUUCCGGAAAUGUUGUUUGUUGUUCCGGCCUCAUUUAAACUUGCCUAAAUAUUUAGUUUACUUUUGUUACACCCCUUUACAUGUUUAACAACAUUUAACAUUGCUGUGUACCUAAACGAGAGCGAACUAAAUAACUCGGAUGUGGUGUUUCGUCAAUAUGCAACUCGUUGCAUAUUGAGCUCCACUUAACUUGUAGUAUUGUGUGUUGCACUUUGCCAUGCCAUGCCUCAUUAAACCGGACAUGCAUCAUACUUGAUUGUGCAUCAUGCCAUAUUUAUGCUUGUGUGUUUACCAUGUUGUUUGUUUCUUUCCGGUGUUGCUUCUUAGUCCCGGUAAUGUUGCGAUUGUGAGGAUUCGUUCGACUACGUCCGUUUGUCUUCUUCGUGGACUCGUUCUUCUUCCUAGCGGGAUUUCAGGCAAGAUGACCGCUACCCUGGAUCUCACUACUAUCAUUGCUAUGCUAGUUGCUUCGUUCUAUCGCUAUGUUGCGCUACCUAUCAUUUUGUUCUAUCAAGCCUCCCAAAUUGCCAUGAACCUCUAACCUUUGACAUCAUUCCUAGCAAACCGUUGCUUGGCUAUGUUACCGCUUUGCUCAGCCCUCUUAUAGCGUUGCUAGUUGCAGGUGAAGUUGAAGAUUGCUCCAUGGUGGACAGGGUUGUGUUGGGAUAUCACAAUAUCUCUUAUAUUAUUAAUGCAUCUAUAUAUUUGGUAAAGGGUGGAAGGCUCGUCCUUAUGCCUGGUGUUUUGUUCCACUCUUACCGCCCUAGUUUCCGUCAUACCGGUGUUAUGUUCCCGGAUUUUGCGUUCCUAACGCGGUCGGGUGAUUUAUGGGACCCCCUUGACAGUUUGCUUUGAAUAAAACUUGUCCAGCAAGGCCCAACCUUGGUUUUACCAUUUGUCUCACCACCACCUAUACCCUUCCCUUGGGUCGGCCAACCCGAGGGUCAUCUUUAUUUUAGCCCCCCCGGGCCAGUGCUUGUCUAAGUGCUGGUCCGAACCGAGUAGACUACGGGGCCCCCUCAGGGCAACUCGAGGUCUGGUUUUACUCAUAGGAUGUCUCAUCCGAUGUUGCCCUGAGAACGAGAUAUGUGCAGCUCCUAUCGGGAUUGUCGGCGCAUCGGGCGGCUUUGCUGGUCUUGUUUUACCAUUGUCGAAAUGUCUUGUAAACCGGGAUUUCGAGACUAAUCGGGUCUUCCUGGGAGAAGGUCUAUUCCUUCGUUGAUCGCGAGAGCUUGUCAUGGGCUAAGUUGGGACACCCCUGCAGGGUAUAAACUUUCGAGAGCCGUGCCACGGUUAUGUGGCAGAUGGGAAUUUGUUAAUGUCCGGUUGUAGAUAACUUGACACCAGAUCCGAAUUAAAAUGCAUCAACCGCGUGUGUAGCCGUGAUGGUCUCUUCUCGGCGGAGUCCGGGAAGUGAACACGGUUUCUGGGUUAUGUUUGACAUAAGUAGGGGUUCAGGAUCACCUCUUGAUCAUUGCUAGCUUCACGACCAUUCCUUUGUUUCUCUUCUCGCUCUCAUUUGCGUAUGUUUGCCAUCAUAUAUGCUUAGCCGCUGCUGCAACCUCACCACUUUACCCCUUCCUUACCCAUUAAGCUUUGCUAGUCUUGAUACCCAUGGUAAUGGGAUUGCUGAGUCCUCGUGGCUCACAGUUACUUCCAAAACCAGUUUGCAGGUGCCGAUGUUACCGAGCAGGUGACACCACCAAGCUCAAGGAGGAGCUCGAUGAAGAUCUUGCCCUUUGUGUUGUUUCGUUCUAGUUGAUCAGUAGUGGAGCCCAGUUGGGGUCGAUCGGGGACCUUUGUCGCAUUUGGGGUUCUUCUUUUAUUUCGGUUCCGUAGUCGGGCCUUGAUUGUAUCUGUAUGAUGUAAUGCUUUACUCAUGUAUUGUGUGAAGUGGCGAUUGUAAGCCAACUAUGUAUCUCUUUCCCUUAUGUAUUACAUGGGUUGUGUGAAGAUUACCUCACUUGCGACAUUGCUUUCAAUGCGGUUAUGCCUCUAAGUCAUGCUUCGACACGUGGGAGAUAUAGCCGCAUCGAGGGCGUUACACUCCCUCGCUUUGAGGUCUCGAAUCCGGCCCUGCAAUAGGGGCACGUCUUCUGACGGCCCCCAAUUGAGUCCUUGGUUGACCCACGACAUCAACCGUCACGGAGGUCCCGGGCGGAAUGAAGGCGGCAGCUUUUGCCUGCUGCCCUUCGGAGCGGUGAUAUAGAACCACUCCUGCUGCCACAAGCCGAGCUCCUCUUGGAAGGAGCCCUCGGGCCAUGGGGCAUCGGCCCUCCUGCUUAUGGCCGCCCCGCCGCACUCUGCUUGACGCCCCCCGAUCAUCUUCGGCUCCACAUUGAAGGUCUUCAGCCACAGGCCGAAGUGGGGGGUGACGCGGAGGAAGGCUUCGCAGACGAUAAUGAAUGCGGAAAUAUGGAGGAUGGACUCCAGAGCCAAGUCGUGAAAAUCCAGCCCAUAGUAGAACAUGAGCCC
Molecule: long non-coding RNA, 11556 nt
Filed under: Triticum aestivum (bread wheat)
Lineage: Eukaryota; Viridiplantae; Streptophyta; Magnoliopsida; Poales; Poaceae
Description: long non-coding RNA (TAES_LNC011730)
Source: RNAcentral